Caenorhabditis elegans is the source of this 91-nucleotide non-coding RNA. Lineage: Eukaryota; Metazoa; Nematoda; Chromadorea; Rhabditida; Rhabditidae. The record is from Ensembl.
UUUACUCCUCUUCGGCUGCUGUGCUCUGGGCCCCAGUGUCCCCCCCUCAACACCCAGUUUUCCCCCGUUUCACUAUGAAUUUUUGAUUCUC